RNAcentral lists this transfer RNA (77 nucleotides) under Clostridiales bacterium. RNAcentral's name for it is "tRNA-Arg". It matches the Rfam family "tRNA". Rfam says of the family: Transfer RNA (tRNA) molecules are approximately 80 nucleotides in length. Lineage: Bacteria; Bacillati; Bacillota; Clostridia; Eubacteriales. The record is from RNAcentral.
GCACCCUUAGCUCAAUUGGAUAGAGUGUCGGUCUACGGAACCGAAGGUUGGGGAUUCGAACUCCUCAGGGUGCGCCA